GGAGUUGGCCGGACAGUCGCGGCCCCUUAGGGGGCGGAGGAAAGUCCGGGCUCCAUAGGGCAGGGUGCCAGGUAACACCUGGGCGGCGCGAGUCGACGGAAAGUGCAGCAGAAAAGAUACCGCCGAUGACUCCUUCGGGAGUACAGGUAAGGUUGAAAUGGUGCGGUAAGAGCGCACCGCGUCGGUGGCAACACUCGGCGGCAAGGUAAACCCCACCCGGAGCAAGACCAAAUAGGGGAGCUGAGGCGUGGCCCACGCUGCUCCCGGGUAGGUCGCUUCAGGUGCGUGGCGACACGCAUCGCAGAUGAAUGACUGUUCACGACAGAACCCGGCUUACAGGCCGACUCCCAAC
This 352-nucleotide RNase P RNA is filed under the name Solemya velesiana gill symbiont. RNAcentral describes it as "Bacterial RNase P class A". It matches the Rfam family "Bacterial RNase P class A". From Rfam's summary of the family: Ribonuclease P (RNase P) is a ubiquitous endoribonuclease, found in archaea, bacteria and eukarya as well as chloroplasts and mitochondria. Its best characterised activity is the generation of mature 5'-ends of tRNAs by cleaving the 5'-leader elements of precursor-tRNAs. Lineage: Bacteria; Pseudomonadati; Pseudomonadota; Gammaproteobacteria. RNAcentral also lists the same sequence under 1 other name. The record is from Rfam by way of RNAcentral.